AUGAUCUUUAUCUGAAUUUUCAUUUCUGGAAAUUUUCACAAUAUUGUGCUGUUUUUAUUGACAAUGUUAUAAGACCAGAAAACUCAAAAAACGUGUAUGUGUUUUUUCAAAGGUUUUCUUUUGAGCUCCCAUUAUGGAUAUCGUGAAUCCACUAAUAAAUAUCUUAUAAGUUUAUUUCAAAGAGAAGACAAUAAUAAGCAGAAUAGUUUGGAGUGAUAGGGAUGUCACAUGUUGAACAGUGAGAUGAAUAGCAGUCAUUGCACUUGAAGUAAUUUAUCAGAACAUUAAAUACUCGAAUUGAUAUUUAUUUUGUGGGUCAACCAAUUGAAAUAAGCGAUUGAGGUAAAGAACAAUUACAAAAUAAAACAAUUUUAAUAUUAAAAGAAAUUGACAAUAGAGGAAAAAAAGAAAACACUUAACCCCAAUAUAUAUAAAUACAAAAAGAAAAAAAAUUUACCUUCGGAAAAGAAUAUAUCAAACCAAAACUUUGAAACAAUUUCGCACAAUAAAUUAGCUAACAUUUACCAAAACAGUCAUCUAAGUAUUGAAACAGUGAGCCCAUCACAAAGAGGAAUUUCAGAAAUGAUAGCUGAACAUAUUUAGUUAAACACUGUCAAUUCAACUUUAAACCAAUAUUGAUUAUACAUUUCAUAUCUGUUGCCCUGAUUAGCUCCUUAGAAGUGGACCAUUAUCAAAAUUCGGUAUCAAUAUAGUAUAUAUAGCC
RNAcentral lists this long non-coding RNA (724 nucleotides) under Brassica rapa (field mustard). RNAcentral's name for it is "long non-coding RNA (BRAP_LNC003765)". The record is from RNAcentral. Lineage: Eukaryota; Viridiplantae; Streptophyta; Magnoliopsida; Brassicales; Brassicaceae.